AGUCGACGAUGAAUCUUCUAGCUUGCUAGAAGUGGAUUAGUGGCGCACGGGUGAGUAAUGCAUAGGUUAUGUGCCCUUUAGUCUGGGAUAGCCACUGGAAACGGUGAUUAAUACUGGAUACUCCCUACGGGGGAAAGUUUUUCGCUAAAGGAUCAGCCUAUGUCCUAUCAGCUUGUUGGUGAGGUAAUGGCUCACCAAGGCUAUGACGGGUAUCCGGCCUGAGAGGGUGAUCGGACACACUGGAACUGAGACACGGUCCAGACUCCUACGGGAGGCAGCAGUAGGGAAUAUUGCUCAAUGGGGGAAACCCUGAAGCAGCAACGCCGCGUGGAGGAUGAAGGUUUUAGGAUUGUAAACUCCUUUUGUUAGAGAAGAUUAUGACGGUAUCUAACGAAUAAGCACCGGCUAACUCCGUGCCAGCAGCCGCGGUAAUACGGAGGGUGCAAGCGAUACUCGGAGUCACUGGGCGUAAAGAGUGCGUAGGCGGGGUAAUAAGUCAGAUGUGAAAUCCUGUAGCUUAACUACAGAACUGCAUUUGAAACUGUUACUCUGGAGUGUGGGAGAGGUAGGUGGAAUUCUUGGUGUAGGGGUAAAAUCCGUAGAGAUCAAGAGGAAUACUCAUUGCGAAGGCGACCUGCUGGAACAUUACUGACGCUGAUGCACGAAAGCGUGGGGAGCAAACAGGAUUAGAUACCCUGGUAGUCCACGCCCUAAACGAUGGAUGCUAGUUGUUGCCUUGCUUGUCAGGGCAGUAAUGCAGCUAACGCAUUAAGCAUCCCGCCUGGGGAGUACGGUCGCAAGAUUAAAACUCAAAGGAAUAGACGGGGACCCGCACAAGCGGUGGAGCAUGUGGUUUAAU
Molecule: ribosomal RNA, 859 nt
Filed under: uncultured bacterium
Lineage: Bacteria
Description: bacterial SSU rRNA
Rfam family: Bacterial small subunit ribosomal RNA
Source: RNAcentral